AACUGAAUAUCAAUUUAAUAGUUUAAUUUUCGAACAAAUGUCUGUGCAAAACGAAGGAAAUGGUGCAUACCUUUCAAGGCCAAACUACACAUGGAGAAAACAACAACAAAAGCAAUUCCGGCAUUAGAUAGUAUCCAACAGAGAGUAUGAUGAAUUAUUUGAUUAUAAAGUUACAUGAUUGGAUAAAAAAUUUCCAGACCCCAAGCACCAAACCAGCUUCCUUCUACAGCAGCCAGUCACCGUUUAAACCCAAUGUCGAAAAAGAUUCUUAUAGCUUACAGAGGAAUAAGUGGAAGGGAAGCCGCCAGAGGUUGCCUUGAAAUCAAACUCUUUCCCAUACAGAAUUACACUAGUUAAGGGCUUGAACAGUUGCCCAAUUGCCGCACAAACACCACUUGCAACCAAAAACUAUAUAAAAAACACAGAGAUGACCACAAUGUUGAACUUCCAAGUCUUUAUGCUCCAAUAAAACAGAGAGUUUUAGCAAACCCCAUCAAUACAUGAUAAUUAAAUCCAGUAGCUGAUCAAGUUUAAAAAUAAAAAAGACAAUUUUUACAAGUAAUGAUUUGUAAUCAACUUCAUCAUACAUGCGUUCACAAUUCACACAUUUUGAUUUCCUAAAUCAAAUAGAGACUUGGUGAACCAUAUAUUGAACAUAUUCUCAACUUAUAGUCGCAGAUAGAAACUAGCAAGAAGGGGGAGCAAAGAAACCAUAUCCAAUCCCACCAAGACUAUUCAAAUGCAGAGUUUAUGCCCUAUCUUGAUGAUUUUGGGGCCAAUUAAACUUAUGAAUAUGUCAACUGGGUUUCUUCCAGUUGAAGUGUAGAUAUCUAACAUUGAGUAAGAAACAAAAACUGAGGCUUUAUCAGGUGGAAACCUAAACACUGAGCUUCUUGUUUGCUCUGACAUGUAUGAAACCCAAAACUCAAAACACCGGCAAACAAUAAACAACAUCCCUCAAAUGGAAAAAAUGCAAGCCAGCAGGCCAAUCACAUCACAUUUGAUGCAGCAAUUGCAGAAGCAAAUGAAGAAUUAUCAAGGAUAAUAUCACAUAACUGGCUCCCCAAAUUGAAAGUCGAGAAACCCAAAAACUAAACGAUAAAGCCCUAGAUUACAAAGAGAAACGAAAGCCCAUGGUGUAGAAGAAACCUGGAAAUCAGCGAUGGAACCAGAAGAAAUCUUUGAUAUGGAUUACGGACCAAAUUAAACAAUCUUUGAUUCGGAAAAUAAUUUAUAUACGGAUUACGGACCAAUUGUAUUCCAACACUACAAGAAAAAUGGUCUACGACAACAUCAUAUUUACAACAUAUUAUAAAUGUUCGUUGUUGCUUAUAGUUUUCCACAACGGGCAAACAAUGUGUGUUGUUAAAAACUGUAUACCACAACAUGCGUCAUUUGCAUGUUGUUAAUUUAGUUAUUGACAACUCACCUUACACGUUUUUAUUUUUAAGUUGUCAAUUAAAACAUUAACAAGUAUAAAUGCAUCUUGUUAAAUAUUUUCAAAACAACAACGUGCAGCGAACACUGUUAAAACUUUGAGAAAAAAGAUACAAGAAAACUUGCAGAACAAUUGUGCUCAACAAGCACCUGUGGGCUGUGGACUAAAGUCACUACAAACUCAACUCGAUCUUUCUCAAAGAAAAAAAGAGAAAAAGAAAAAAAAUAUUAAAAAAUCAGCCCUCUGAAUCCAUCAGAGAUCCAAAACGUAUAAAAUCCUGGGCUUGAAGAAUUGAACUCUGAAGCUCUAGACUCUCAUUCUCUCAAACGGCUUCGCCCUCACCAGCUUAAACCCUAAACCGCACGAAACGAUGUCGUGGCUUCCCUCCGCCGUCGCUCUCAAUUGCAUCGACGACUUCGCCAUGAAGCAAGACCACUUCUCCGGCGUCGCCGCCGUCGAGCACAUCCCGCUCAGCCACUUGGCCGACGGCAGGAUCGACUCUGCCUCGGCUGUGGUCCUCCAAUCAUUCGCGUACCUCCCACGUGCCGCCCAGCGUCAGCUACGUCCUUACCAGCUCAUCCUCUGCCUCGGCUCCGGCGACUGCGCCACUGACUCCACUUUCACUGCCGACCUCGGUUGUCAAUCUCCGAAGCAUUUCGAUGGCCGGAUUUCUGGCGUUUACGGCUACGAAGAUGAUGCAAAAUGUGGUAUGCCGACAUGGAUCUGCAAGGGGCUUACUUAUUUUCUUAUUUGCAGGCCUGGUUUACUUCUAUCUCUAAGGCUUUUGAUCUGUUGGAAAUGGUAAAGGCAAUCAAAGCUUUUCCAGCAGUCCAUGGAUGCUUAGAAAGGGGAUUCUUGCAGCAGGAGAAUCUGUUGCAACAUGGUCUUCCUGUUGUGCUCUAAGUAUCUAUCGCGCAGGCAUAGCUUUAGAUAUUACAGGUUUCGUUGGCCAAACCAGCUGCUAGGAUUCUUGAAGUUACUGGAAAAACUGCACAGAGCAUUAGAACCCGAUAGGAUCCAUUGAACUUCCUCUUAAUUUAUGAUAUUUGUAGUCACAACAAUGCUUGUUUUGUCAAUUACCAAUGAUCCACAAAGGAUUCAGUACUUUGUCUUGCAUUUUUUGUUAGGAAUAUAUCUAUUAGACAAUAUGGUACUCUUAAUGAAAUGUAUAUUUUUCUUUUA
Rosa rugosa (rugosa rose) is the source of this 2620-nucleotide RNA transcript. RefSeq lists it as uncharacterized. The record is from RefSeq and is a predicted model, not a curated record. Lineage: Eukaryota; Viridiplantae; Streptophyta; Magnoliopsida; Rosales; Rosaceae. The transcript has 5 exons.